RNAcentral lists this ribosomal RNA (467 nucleotides) under uncultured bacterium. RNAcentral's name for it is "partial 16S ribosomal RNA". It matches the Rfam family "Bacterial small subunit ribosomal RNA", at positions 28 to 506 of the family's 1533-position model. The record is from RNAcentral.
GACGAACGCUGGCGGCGUGCUUAACACAUGCAAGUCGAACGGAAAGGCCCUGCUUUUGUGGGGUGCUCGAGUGGCGAACGGGUGAGUAACACGUGAGUAACCUGCCCUUGACUUUGGGAUAACUUCAGGAAACUGGGGCUAAUACCGGAUAGGAGCUCCUGCUGCAUGGUGGGGGUUGGAAAGUUUCGGCGGUUGGGGAUGGACUCGCGGCUUAUCAGCUUGUUGGUGGGGUAGUGGCUUACCAAGGCUUUGACGGGUAGCCGGCCUGAGAGGGUGACCGGCCAAAUGGGGACGGAGAUACGGCCCAGACCCCUCCGGGGGGCAGCGGGGGGGAAUAUUGCAAAAGGGGCGGAAGCCUGAUGCAGCAACGCCGCGUGCGGGAUGACGGCCUUCGGGUGGUAAACCGCUUUCGCUUGGGACGAAGCGUGAGUGACGGUAAUGGGUAAAGAAGCACCGGCUAACUACGU